Non-coding RNA from Acanthosepion pharaonis, 97 nucleotides. The record is from the annotation of a GenBank genome assembly. NCBI's taxonomy places the organism in Eukaryota, Metazoa, Mollusca, Cephalopoda, Sepiida, Sepiidae.
UCAUAUCAUAUUGAGACACCGGUUCUCGUCCGAUCACCGAAAUUAAGCAACGUUGGGCCUGGUCAGUAUUUAGACAGGUGACUGCUGAAGAAUACCA